This 253-nucleotide ribosomal RNA is filed under the name uncultured bacterium. Its description in RNAcentral is "partial 16S ribosomal RNA". It matches the Rfam family "Bacterial small subunit ribosomal RNA", at positions 524 to 776 of the family's 1533-position model. The record is from RNAcentral.
UACGUAGGGCGCAAGCGUUGUCCGGAAUCAUUGGGCGUAAAGAGCUCGUAGGCGGUCUGUUACGUCUGCUGUGAAAUCCUAGGGCUUAACCCUGGGCCUGCAGUGGAUACGGGCGGACUAGAGGUAGGUAGGGGAGAAUGGAAUUCCCGGUGUAGCGGUGAAAUGCGCAGAUAUCGGGAGGAACACCGGUGGCGAAGGCGGUUCUCUGGGCCUUUCCUGACACUGAGGAGCGAAAGCGUGGGGAGCGAACAGG